RNAcentral lists this ribosomal RNA (377 nucleotides) under uncultured bacterium. RNAcentral describes it as "bacterial SSU rRNA". It matches the Rfam family "Bacterial small subunit ribosomal RNA", at positions 523 to 898 of the family's 1533-position model. The record is from RNAcentral.
ACACGUAGGGGGCAAGCGUUGUCCGGAAUUAUUGGGCGUAAAGGGCGUGUAGGCGGUUAAUUAAGUCAGGUGUGAAAGCCCGGGGCUUAACCCCGUGACUGCACCUGAAACUGGUUAACUUGAGGGCAAGAGAGGAAAGCGGAAUUCCUAGUGUAGCGGUGAAAUGCGUAGAUAUUAGGAGGAACACCAGUGGCGAAGGCGGCUUUCUGGCUUGACCCUGACGCUGAGGCGCGAAAGCGUGGGGAGCAAACAGGAUUAGAUACCCUGGUAGUCCACGCCGUAAACGAUGGGUACUAGGUGUAGGAGGUAUCGACCCCUUCUGUGCCGCAGCAAACGCAUUAAGUACCCCGCCUGGGGAGUACGUUCGCAAGAAUGAA